Molecule: ribosomal RNA, 209 nt
Filed under: Drosophila tanythrix
Lineage: Eukaryota; Metazoa; Arthropoda; Insecta; Diptera; Drosophilidae
Description: partial 28S ribosomal RNA
Source: RNAcentral
CCCGAAGGUAUCCUGAAUCUUUCGCAUUGUUAAUCAUACAAGUGCAUAUAAUAAACACAAAAAUCUUGAUAAUUAUGCCAUUAUAUAAUUCCGAAAAAUUAACGCACAGUAUUCAUAUAAAUCUAUCAGCACGUUUAUCAAAUUUAUGACAUUUAUAACAUGUUAUAAUGCAAGCACUAUAAUUGAAAUAAUCAAUAAUUCACAAUUUU